RNAcentral lists this ribosomal RNA (253 nucleotides) under uncultured bacterium. RNAcentral describes it as "partial 16S ribosomal RNA". It matches the Rfam family "Bacterial small subunit ribosomal RNA", at positions 524 to 776 of the family's 1533-position model. The record is from RNAcentral.
UACGUAGGGGGCAAGCGUUGUCCGGAAUCAUUGGGCGUAAAGCGCGUGUAGGCGGCUAUGUAAGUCGGGCGUGAAAUCCCACGGCUCAACCGUGGAAGUGCACCCGAAACUGCGUAGCUAGAGUCCUGGAGAGGAAGGUGGAAUGCUUGGUGUAGAGGUGAAAUUCGUAGAUAUCAAGCGGAACACCGGUGGCGAAGGCGGCCUUCUGGACAGUGACUGACGCUGAGACGCGAAAGCGUGGGGAGCAAACAGG